RNAcentral lists this transfer RNA (72 nucleotides) under Gloeocapsa sp. PCC 73106. It matches the Rfam family "tRNA". From Rfam's summary of the family: Transfer RNA (tRNA) molecules are approximately 80 nucleotides in length. Their secondary structure includes four short double-helical elements and three loops (D, anti-codon, and T loops). Lineage: Bacteria; Bacillati; Cyanobacteriota; Cyanophyceae; Chroococcidiopsidales; Chroococcidiopsidaceae. RNAcentral also lists the same sequence under 1 other name. The record is from Rfam by way of RNAcentral.
GCCGGUGUAGCUCAGUGGUAGAGCAGCUGAUUUGUAAUCAGCUGGUCGUAGGUUCAAAUCCUAUCACCGGCU